GUUCAAAGAGAAAAAGCACAUGAUGACUUUGAAGGAGGCUGCCUGGCUGAGCUGAUCGGAUCACCUAGAGACUGGAAAUGCUUUCUGGAUAAGUACAUACAUCUCUACUACCCAUCUCCCAAUCCAGAACUGAGCAUCGCAGAUGAAAGAUACCUGCCUGUUGGUUUUUUUUUCUUAGCUGAUUGUUUCACCCUCUGUAGAGUUUAAGUAAGGUGAGGACAUGGGAUUGUGAUAGAGAGCUGCCAGUGUCAUUCUUGGCACUUCCAAAGUGUGGUACUGCAGCCACUGGGUUUGAGUUUCGCACCUGCAGGAGAGGGUUUGAUUGGGUGAUGCUCUGGGUGUCUUUCUGCUCUAGGGGUUGACUUGUCUAUGAUCCCUGAGCUGUCUCUCACUUCACUGACACUUACUUACCUAAGUCCUGCCGUUCAAAUGCAUCCAUUUUAAACCUUGUUACUAAACAAUUGCCAAAGUGAAGGAAUUAGCAUCAAUUCACACACAAAUUCAAAAAAUAUAAAUAAAUCAGAAAACAUUGGAAGGGAAGAAUUCAUUCAUCUUUUUUCUCUAAUAGCCUUAGAGAUGAAGUAAGGGAUUCCUAGUUAUCUUAUGCUGGCUUCAGAGCUUGGCUAAUAUCAAACACAUACAAUAUUUGAUGAAACAAAUGAAGAUUUCCAUUUUUCUGCAAGCUGAAGAUAAGAAUAGCUGUUUCAGAGUUGGACAUAGAUUUAUCAUAAGCAGGAUCAUGGAUCUUUGAAAAUUUGGGCUAGAUUUCAAACAAUAAAAAUCCUAAAAAUUCAAAGUAAAAUUCCCUAAAAUUUGCUCAUGGCUUUCAACUGUUUUAGUACUGUCACAAAGAUGAUCUUACUGCAUUCUCUCUUUUAUAAUCUCUUCCACUUACCUCAUAAGGUUAACAGACCAGGAGUUAUAUGCAUUUUAUAGAAUGUGGGUCCCUGUAGUUAAAAAACAAAACAAAACAAAAAACACCUGUCUAUUUUAUUCCCUAUUUUAUCUGCAGUGGUUAGCAUAAUAAACAUGAACAUGAACAUGAAAAGAACUUAAAAAAAUGUAUGUGAGUGACUGAUUUAUCAAAUGAAUGAAUAAGAAAACUGAAGUACACACAGCAAGUUAAGCGAUACACCCGAUAUCAUUUUGUAUAAGUGCCAAGAUUUUAAUGAAAGAGACAAAAAUGCUGUCUUCUGAAGUCAAAGCUCAGAAGAUUCCAUGAUCCUAUUGCAACAGCUGUCGGUUUAACAGAACAGUUAAAGAGUUCUGCCAUUGUAUGAGUCUACGAUUUCCCUGAGAACGCUGUGUAACAAACAAGUUUGAAUUCUCAGUGUCUUGUAAUGAAUGUUUAUGUUUCUUAGCUAGCCGUGCAUCUGUGGUUUGGCUGAGGUUCUGCUAAUCUUAUUGGGCUUGGUCAGGCUUGGUUCCAAGUUCAGUUCAGGUUCAGAGCUGCUCCAGGGGGCUUAUUCUGGGGCCCACACUAAAAGGGAAGGGGAUCUCUGGGCCAUAUUCUUCUCAUGCUGGAUUACAGGAGUGCAAGAGGACACACCAGCCACGAGAGCACAUUUAAAACCUUUGCUCCUAUCAGGUUUGCUUACAUUUCCUAGACUAGAGCAAGACACUGGCCAAUCCCCUCAAUAGUCAGUGGGGCAGCAAAGUGUAUUCUAUUCCAAAGAGAGAGGGAGGGACUGUUUGCUAGAUAAUAAUUCCAUUUAUCACCACCAGCCUGAAGGGAAGAAAUUUAAUUGACAAAUUCUCAAGCUCUCUGUCAGCUUUGUGAUUCUUUAGUUCUCGUAUAACACGUUAAAGGGAGCUUAGUCCUUUGUCAGUGGAAACUGUCUAGUCAUACCCUGAUCAGAAUUCAAGGCCAAGCAGGGACCAUUAUUUGAGCUGUGGAUUCUGCUGUUUGGUAUUCACACGUCCCUAAUCAUCUUGGAAAGUAUAAUGUUUUCUAACAGCUGUAAAGACAAAAGAUUCUAACAUUACAAACUAUACAUAAUAUCCAUGAAAUUACAUUGAAUAAUGUAAUGAUGUGUUAUGCUGUCAUUAACACAUUAUGAAUACCUAAUUUGAGAGGUUAAUGAAAUAGACAAACAUAUGAACACUGUGGGUAUCAUCAAUACCACUUAAUGACAAACCUCUUGUUUUCAUUUACAGAAUCAUCUGAAAUGAGAAGAUUCCAUCUUUCUAGCUACAUUUGCUUGGUCAUAAAUUAAGAAGAGUCUGCACGAUAUGUUUUGUUUUAACAUGGAGUGCGAGAAUCCCAAGACAGAAAGAAGAGCUGCUCUGUUUGAAGAACAAUUGGGAGCCCCAGGACCUGCCGCUGUGCCCACCUCUUGUUUUCCCAUCCACAGAAAUGGUCCCUGAAGUAUCCCAUGGAAGGAGAGGUGCUGGUUCUGUUAGGUGACUGGGUGUGCACAAUGAGGACUCUGAAGAACACCAGGUCAGAAGACUGAUCCCACUUCUGAGCCUUACAGAAUCUGGAGGUAGAAGAGAUAAGGUGUCAGAAUUGCUUUACAACAUCCCAGGAAAAUGUUCUUCUAACUCCUGCCUGAAAGCUUCAGUGAUGGGAGGCUCACGGCUUGUGCAGCCACCUGCCCUUCUGAUGAUUGUCUCUCGUUGUUCAAGGCCACACAUUUCCUCUUGUCCUUCAGGCUUUCAAAAUCCACUUCAUAACCAAUGUCCAGUGACGUCACUCCUCUUGGCCUCACUGUCUUCAUUGAUCACGUGGUGAGAGGAGCACUGGGUUAAUUAGCAUGUGUGAAAAACCCUGAACGCCAUCAGACCCCCAGCUCAUUCUCGUUAGUGUCAAUCAGGUUGCUGCUAUGGUUGUUGCUAUUAGGAUAAUUGUCACGGCCACUCUUUCACCUUCUGCCUGGCUCCUUCGGCACCGCUUGGCUUCAUUAGACCACUUGCUGGUUCUCAGACACACCAUGCACCCACACAGCACCCCGGUCCUACAGUGGCUCCUCUACAAAAUGCCCAGGGCACCCUCCCUCCCAGCAUUCCUGACCUCACCAUGUUCCCUCUCUCCUGAAAACCUUGACUCACCCUCUGGAGCUCAGCUACAACCCAAGUUGCCCAGGACACCCCUAACCUCAUGUGGGAAUCUGAUGCCUGGGGCUCAGGGGCAGCCUCUGCUACUAGCAACUCUCUGAUAUUGAAAAAUGUACUCACCUUCCCUAAGCCUCCAUGUCCUUAUUCUUAAAACAGAGAUAAUGCGUUUAUUGCAGGUUGUUGUAAAUAUGAAAUGAAAUGAGAUAUUUAAGUUGUGUGUUGGAUAACACAUCAGCCAUUCCCUCUUUCAAACACAUUUUUCUACCUGAUCCUCACAGCAGCCUGGAAGGCAGGGAUCUUUGCAGGUGAAAACACUCAGCUUUGGGAGUGGCUGAUGCAGGGCUACCCAGUUCCUAAGUGCUUCAUUCAAACUUGAACCUAGGACUUUGGAAUUUACAUCUUUUGUGUUAGCCACUGAAAAUUUGCAAAAUUAUUGCUGAUGGAUCGAGUAGGGUCUCAAAAAAUUCUCAAAUCAAUUAGAUCAAACAGAACUCUGUGAUAUUCUGAUUUUUAAUUUUU
This is a long non-coding RNA of Cercocebus atys (sooty mangabey), 3576 nucleotides long. RefSeq lists it as uncharacterized. NCBI's taxonomy places the organism in Eukaryota, Metazoa, Chordata, Mammalia, Primates, Cercopithecidae. The record is from RefSeq and is a predicted model, not a curated record. The transcript has 3 exons.